RNAcentral lists this ribosomal RNA (301 nucleotides) under uncultured bacterium. Its description in RNAcentral is "partial 16S ribosomal RNA". It matches the Rfam family "Bacterial small subunit ribosomal RNA", at positions 509 to 807 of the family's 1533-position model. The record is from RNAcentral.
CAGCCGCCGCGGGAAUACGGAGGGUGCAAGCGUUAAUCGGAAUUACUGGGCGUAAAGCGCACGCAGGCGGUCUGUCAAGUCAGAUGUGAAAUCCCCGGGCUUAACCUGGGAACUGCAUUUGAAACUGGCAGGCUAGAGUCUUGUAGAGGGGGGUAGAAUUCCAGGUGUAGCGGUGAAAUGCGUAGAGAUCUGGAGGAAUACCGGUGGCGAAGGCGGCCCCCUGGACAAAGACUGACGCUCAGGUGCGAAAGCGUGGGGAGCAAACAGGAUUAGAUACCCCAGUAGUUCCUGUCUCUUAUAC